Molecule: ribosomal RNA, 492 nt
Filed under: uncultured bacterium
Lineage: Bacteria
Description: partial 16S ribosomal RNA
Rfam family: Bacterial small subunit ribosomal RNA
Source: RNAcentral
AGUGAACGCUGGCGGUAGGCCUAACACAUGCAAGUCGAACGGCAGCACAGUAAGAGCUCGCCCUUACGGGUGGCGAGUGGCGGACGGGUGAGGCAUACAUCGGAAUCUACUUUUUCGUGGGGGAUAACGUAGGGAAACUUACGCUAAUACAGCAUACGUCCUACGGGUGAAUGCAAGGGUUCUUCGGACCUUGCGCGAUUCAAUGAGCUGACGUCGGAUUAGCUAGUUGGCGGGGUAAAGGCCCACCAAGGCGACGAUCCGUAGCUGGUCUGAGAGGAUGAUCAGCCACACUGGAACUGAGACACGGUCCAGACUCCUACGGGAGGCAGCAGUGGGGAAUAUUGGACAAUGGGCGCAAGCCUGAUCCAGCCAUACCGCGUGAGUGAUGAAGGCCUUCGGGUUGUAAAGCCCUUUUGUUGGGAAAGAAAAGCAGCAGGUUAAUACCCCGCUGUUCUGACGGUACCCAAAGAAUAAGCACCGGCUAACUUCGUG